UACCCUAUUAUUCUUUAUGUUAAUAAAAAGAUCCGAGUAGUAAUAGUUAUGAACUUGAAACUUAAAGAAUUUGGCGGUGUUUUAGUCCGGUCAGAGGAACUUGUCCCGUAAUCGAUAAUCCACGUUUUACUUCACUUUAUUUGAUGGUUAGCUUGUAUACCGCCGUCAUAAGGAUAUUUCUUUAGAAUAUUUUCUGAGAUUUUAAUUUGAGAGAAUGUCAGGUCAAGGUGCAGUUUAUGGUAAAGAGGAGAUGAGUUACAUUAACAAUUAAUUAAACGGAUUUGAUUUUGUAAUGAAUUAAUGAAGGUGGAUUUGGUAGUAAUUGAAAUAAGAAAGAGUUGGUGAAUGGAGGCUCUAAAACAUGUACA
Molecule: ribosomal RNA, 368 nt
Filed under: Dipteromimus sp. BYU IGCEP150
Lineage: Eukaryota; Metazoa; Arthropoda; Insecta; Ephemeroptera; Dipteromimidae
Description: partial 12S ribosomal RNA
Source: RNAcentral